CUCCUGUAGCUGCCCCGCUUUGUGCUCUGCUUCCUCAGCACCGGUUAUACGAGAACCUUUGGAAACGAGACAAAAUCACAGCAGGAAGAAAUCCUCGCAGGGCUCUGCUGGGAAAAGACAUUCUCCUGCGUUGCCAGCGAGCCCGGCCGCGGGCAGGAUGAUGAGAACAGCAGCAGGAGGUUUAUCCUUGAGAAGUGAAGGGUUUAGAGGGAUCUAAAGCAGCCAUGCAGUACCUGUGAGGAGGUGUUCGAGAAGGCAGCCAGACUCUUCAGAGCAGUGUCUGGUGAGAGGAAGAGAGACAACAGGGAUGAGGUAAGUUAAGAGAAGCUCAGAGUGGUGAUAAAGACACACCUUUUUCCAGGAAGGCAGCCAGUCAUCAGCAGCUUGCCCAGGAACGCUGCACUGUCCCAUCCUCUGAGGUUUUCAAGCCCUGCUGGACAAUGAGAUCUUGCAGCUGACCCUGCUUGGAGCAGAAAGUUAACUAGAGACCUCCUGAGGUCCCCUCUGAGCUGGGAAAUUCUGCCACUUUAUGUUGAGGUCAGCAUUCCAGGACUGCUCCACCUGCUCACACAAUGAACUGCAAAGCAGUUUUUGGGUUCCUGAAGGCUGGAGGAAGGUGGCUGAACCAUGUCUAAGGCCAUGGAUCACCAGGCACUGGCUUCACAGAGCCAUAAAAUAAAAUCCUGGAAUGGUUGGGGUUGGAAGGGACCUUAAAGCUCUUCUCAUUCCAUGCCCUGCCGUGGGCAGGGACACCUUCCACUGGCCCAGGCUGCUCAGAGCUCCCCUGUUCUGCACUAGGACCUGGGGUUUGACAGAGCCCACAGCCCAUCCAUGGCAUCUCCUGGGCACGGGCCCCACCCCAGGAUCAUCCCAGGUAUCAGAGCGGGGCAGGAGGAGAAUCACAAGGUCUGGCAGCUGCCCAGCUGUCCCUGAGCCAAAGGGACCAGCAGGAUGCCCAGGGUGCACUCCUGCCGUGCCCUGCUGGGCUGCAGGCCACCCUGGAGCACUCGGGGACCAGAGGGAGGCUGUGCUGCUUGAGCCAGUGCCCCUGAGCUCAGCUCCUAAAAAACCUGCAGCCCACAGUGCCUGAUGUGCAGCACAGCCACAGUUCCUCCCUCCUGUUUUCUGUGACCUCUUUGCAAAGCAGCUUUUGGUUCACAUCCUCUCCAGAUCUGCUGGCUACGGCAAAAUGAAAUUGGCUCUGCACAAGCUCCCCAGCUCCACACACCCUCCCUGCAGAGGAGACGGGCAGGGCUAAACCUGUGGUGUGCUGGUUGUGCUGUCAGCGAGGCAAAGCUCACCUGGGGGAUGCUCCAAUCCUUCAGCCUGUGCACUCCCCCCUCGCAGCUCGGCUCCCCCUGGGGAUGCGCUCUGCUUUGAGUGGGGAGUGCCAGUUCUUUAGCAGCUCCACGGGAGACAGCUGGCAAAGUGCAGGAGACCCCAGGCUGGACCCCACGCCCAGCCAGGGUCUCCCUCCUGCACGGGGAGGUAAAGCUGGCCCUGGCUGGGAGCUGGGAUGGAGUCACUGGGGACUGACACCUCACUGGGUGCCAAACUUGUGCUGAAACAUGGUGGGGGUCAGGCUUGGCCACCUCCGACCCACUGGCAGCUGCUGGGAGCAUCCCCAGGCUGGACCACGGCACUGGGUGUCCUUCCUUGUCGGAAUCUGAGGUAUUGAUGAUUCUGAGAUUGUAGAAAGUCUCUGUCUUUCUGCCCCGUUGCCAAAGAAGAAGCCAUAAUUCGUCUGUGCUGGUUUCAAGGUUGUUUAUUCUGUUUAUCUCUAACAUGUUCUGCUGCCCUGCCGCAGCUCUGUCCUGCAGGGCAGCGUGUGGGGCUCUGCCCUCAGUGGGAUGUUACAAACAUUAAAUACCACAAACUACCUGUGCUGCAUUUACAAUAACGUGCCAAUAUCUGUCACCUACGUUGAACAGUGUGUCCCCAGCCUAAACCAACAGAAAAAUGCCAACACCACAGUGAAACAUGGAGGGCAUGAAGAAGGAGAAAAAGGACAAGGCACACCCAAUUUCCUCCAUCUUGUCCCCUCUGAACCCCUAAUCUAGAAACCAAAAAUUUUACUUUUGCACCCGUGUCACACUUAAUUAUUACUCUUAUCAAACACUCAAAGCUUGUAAUUCAUCCUGUAAGAUUGAAAACUCUUUUCCAUGGACAGAGAUCACAGACAGUGUCUCUGGGGGCUCUGUCCAGGGGUGUUCCUGACCCCUGCCAGGGUCCCAGACCUGCCAGGGCAGCCAGAGGGAAGCCCUGGAUUCCCACACAAAGAGGGAAAUCUGCCCCUGAGCCUUGCUGCAACGUGUCCUGAUGGGGGGGACCCUGCAGAGAGGCAGGUGCUGUGCCAAGGGAAGGCAGGAGACUGGCAGAGCCAGCCCUCACAGGCAGAGUGUGCUGGGAGCUGCAGCCAUCACCCCGCCGUGUCUGGGGGUGCAGCCUUGUCUGCAGUUCCUUUCCUUGGACAAUCUUUGCCAUGAUAACAGCUUGGUUUUAACUCUGGAACCUACUGAUGAUGGCAACCAGAAUCAGCUUCUGGUCUGCCCCACUAUUUCUCUGAAUGAUUCUCAUGCCCAGAAAUCCUAGGCAAGGCUGGGGAGGACAGCAGGAAACAUGUGCUGGUGGUUCACUGUGUGGACAACCCUGGAAAGCAAGGCAUGAGGCUGGGUUUAAUGCACCCCACAGAGCUUGCCACAUCCCAUUCCCUGUCUGCAGGAACAACCAUGGUGCUCCUCACUGAUGUUGGGAUGUUUAUGGCCAACAUUGUGGGAAAAAGCCUGGGAGAGUUGGGUGACCUGCACCCGGCUGUGGUGACAGAACUGCUCCCCCUGUCCCAAACCCUGUCCAAACUCUGUCCCUGCUCUGCUGGAUUUGGGUUUACCCCUUCCCUGCCCGUGCUGAGAUGCAGAACCAGCCUCCUGUAGACCCCAAUAUUAAUCUGUGGGUUUCAGAGAGCUGCAGGAGCAGAGAGAGCCGCAGCGGGAGCGCUGGGAAGCAGACGGCGCUGCUGCGUGGAAAUCUAUGCCCAACUGCUCCAUAUCAUAUCAUCCAGCAUAUGUCUAGAGACAGGCCAGCAAAUUCAGACCUGAAAAUGGGUAUAAUUGCCAGGCAGGACUUUGAGAUUGAAAGAGCUUCAAAGAAAACACAGUUCCUGUGUGCUGAGAGCAGCGUGGUGGCUCUCUGGAGUUGGGUUUAGUGGGACAGACCCUCCCCUUGCACAUUACUUUAGUCCUGGCAGAGCCUGAAGGUCAAACUUGGCUCACUCACCUGCACCACUUCAGUGUUUGCUGGUUUGGCUCAACACCAGAGCUUGCUGGUCUGAGCACAAUACACAGGAUCAGAGAAUCGUGGAAUAUCCUGAGCUGGAAGGGGCCCAUAAGGACUAUUGGGUCCAUCUCCUGGCCCUGCACAGGACAGCCCAUGAAUCACACCAUGAUUCUUCUAUAUUUCCAUCCAUUUUUUCCAUAUAGCUCUUUUUGCCUUUUCCUACUCUCUCUGCAGCUUAGUUUUCCCAAUCAUUGCCCAGAAACUGCCCUGGAACAGUGGAAAAUGCUGUUGCCAUCAAAUUUUACCAUGGCAUGUGGCCUGGAGCUCGAAGGGAGUCCCCCCAGUCACAGUGACAGAUUCCCUGGAGAACCCUCCUGGCUGCCAGCACAGGUCCUCAGGCAGCAAUGCCACCCCCCUCUGCUGUCACACACUCUUGUCCCCGUGGUGGGCACCACCCAAGCCUGCCAGCAGCUUGGGGGUGGCAUUUGGUGGCCUGAAUGGCUUGUGUGGGCUUCAGAAGUGACCUGAAUUGUGGUGUGAGCUCCCCAAGGGGUGCCAGGCUGGCUCUGUCCCUCUGGUAACACAGGCACCCUCACAGGGCUCCUGCCAGCACCUCUUGCAACAACAGCAGAGCGAUGCCUGGACAUGCCCCAGGAUGGAAUCACAUCCCUCUGUGGGAAAGUCAAUCCCAGAGGGAGUGGGAAACCUCAUCCCAGCUUCCCUCCGCACCUCCCACCCCAUUUUCUCUGUGGGAUCUCCUCUCACAUCCCACCCUAAGCUCUCCUGGCAGUACCACCAGCAUCACCUCCCCAGUGCCAGCCUCCCAUCCCUCACCCCCAGCACGGUGGGGAGCCUCGGGGCUCUCCCUUGCUCUCCUUCUCUUCCAGGAGCCAGGUGAAACAAACCCAGGAGUUUUUAGGAUCUGUGCUGGCAGAACACAGCGAGCAGAUGGUGCCCUAAAAUCCCCGCGCCCCCAAGAGCGAGCCAGUGAUCAUUUGUGAAGCUCUUGAGAUCUAUUUUUUUUUUUUUUCCCAGAGCCUGCUGAGCCUGGCGAGGAGCUAAUUGCAGCCUGGACUGGCUGGAGAGGGCAAUACCCGGAUGGGCUCCUCGCCUUUCAGGCUGUAAUGGAGCCUGGCCAUACAAAGCACAAAGCUCCUUCCCUUCCUGUUUGCCCGGCUCCCUCCGCCAAACCUUCCCCUGCCUGCGCUCAGAGAUGUAAAUACCAGGGCACGGGAGAAUUGCUCCCUCGUGCCUGCGUCACGUCUGAAAUACCCAUUAAAAAUACACGUUCCUAAAAGAGCACCUCUGCACCGAGCACAGACUCUCCUGGCAGCGGGGGCUGCUGGCAGGGAGCGGAUCAGAGGGAGGGGGACAGGGGACAGGGGACAGGGGACAGGGGACAGGGGACAGGGGACAGGGCACAGGGAGGGGGGACAGGGCUGUCCCAGGGAAAUGGCAGCGGGGCUGGGCAGGAUGGAUGGGAGGAUCUGGGGAUGCCUGGCAGGCUCGCAGGAGGGGGUUCAGCAGCGGGGUCCGCAGUGCUGAGCUGUGCUGAGCCUGGGGAGGGAUGUGGGGAGCCAAGGGAGGGGUGGGAGAAGGGGGAAAGGGCUGCAGGAACAUGCAGCAAUGAGCAGGUUUAAUGAAGAGCCUUGAGGACAUCCAUCUCUCCCAGCAGCAGCGGGAUGGGGCUCCGCUGGCAUCACCUCCCUGCCCCUGUCUGUGAGGUCCUGUCCCAGUUCAGGGCAUGGUGUGACCGGUGGGGAGAGCAGGGGGUUCACACACGUCCUCCUGGCUGCUCCUCUGCCUCCUGGCCUUGGGGCCCGGGAAGAUAAUCACACAUACAUUUUGUCGCAAAAUCUCCCCUUCAGUGAGGUAGGGGACAAUAAUUUGUCCCAGAGACCCCAUGUGAUGAAGGAGCUUUUCUGGGCAAGCUGACAGGGCUUGGAGGGUCUGGGAGGUGAGGGCUGGUGAUGCCUCGGGUGCUGGUCUCCUCCAGGAACAGCCCUGGGGAUGUGCCCGGGGCUGGGGGAGCCACAGGGCUCUCAGGCUGGGCACUGGGAUCUCUCACAGCUCCAGCCGGUGAGAAAGGACAACCCACAGAGACAUUUUCUUCUUCUUCAAAGGAAUUCAGUGUUUGGCUGGAGCGUUCAAAGGAGAUUUUAAAAGAGAAGAUAAAAAAGAAAGUUAAAAGCUACCCAGUGAGGGGUGGAAGCGGGAACGUGGGGAGAGAUCAGGGGCAGCGCCGGCAGCAAAGCAAUGGCAGGACACCGAGAGAGGAUGAGGAGAGCCUUCAUCCCACAGCUGCCCAGCCAGGGCACUGAUUCCCAUCCUCCAGCACCUGCAUCUGCUGUGGUCAUCUGCAGGCUGGGUCUUGAGCCCCGGGGAGCAGCAGGGCUGGGGGGAGCAGGGAGCCGGCCUGGGGCAGGGGGACCAGCAGCGUGGGAGGGGUGGGAUGGAGCAGGGACGCCAGCAAGACACCGGGAGGGAAAAUGUUAAUCAACUGCAGUGCCUCCCUGAAAGGAGCCAAAUGUAAAUGAGAUAAUUAAGCUAUUAUUUAAAGCCGGGAGACGGUGGGGACAGGCCCGGGGUGGCCGGACUGCAUUUUAAUCAGCUGCCUGGCUGGGGCUGGGGAGCCCGUGCUGGUGGUGCCCCUGCCUCUGAUUCCCUGCUUCUGCAUCCCUGCCUCUGCAUCCCUGCCUCUGCAUCCCUGCCUCUGAUUCCCUGCCUCUGCAUCCCUGCCUUGGCUGCCGGGCUUAUGGAACAGCCCCUCUGUGAGCCACCCUCAAGCCCUGUCCCCACUGCCCAGCCACUGCCAUCCCGUGUCCCCAGCUGUCCUGCCAGGUCAGGGCACAAGGGGUUCACGUGUGGGGGUAUCUACACCCGUGUCACCACCUUUCUGUGGGGUUUUGUUUAGGCUGCAGGAGCCCUUCCUGUGCCUCAGUUUACCUGCUUUCGCUGUUUUGGAUAUUAAAAGUUUGUAAUAAGAAUUAACAGUGCUGGUGAGGAUAAAUCCACCCGAGGAAAAGCAGAAUUUAAAUGCUCCAGUGGUGCUGGCCAGACUUGUUUUUGGGAGCCUUUUUAAACCAUCUUGUUACCAGGUGACCAGAAGAAGUCUAAGCAAUUGCCCUGGGGCUCACUUUCCCCACCUCUGGAAGCAGCACUGAGGUUCAGGGAUGCUCUCAGCACAGUGGGGAGCUCCAAGGUCACUUGUGAACUGCCGUGAGCCAGCAAAUGGGGCAGAACAGAAUUUUCUUCCUGCAUUUCUUUGUUUUGGUCAGUGAUGGAAAAGAAAACAAUGUCCAAAGCCAUCCACGACCAGGGGUGUAAAGUGAUUUUCUUCCGUGUCAUCGGGACCAUCCUUGCUGGUGGUGGCAGAUCUGACUCCUGGAAGCAGAGACUUCUGAGCAGCAGGGAGAAGACGGGUGGUUGUUCACUCCUUUUCUCAUGUAUCAGCUGGGAUCUUGGUGGAACACAGUUAGUAGGGGCCAGGUUCAAAGGAAACCUGAGAAGAUAUCUGUUCCAUGGAGCAUCCUUAAGGAGAGCUGCAGGGGGAGUGGGUGCUCCCAAUUCCUACAGGAGGUGUGAGAGUUCAAAGACACGAGGAAAAAGCCCAUGGAGAGCUCUUAAGGAGAAAGGCAGCACCUCUCUAGCUCAGAAAACUAUGCCCCAUGAAGGUCUGGAGAUCAGGAGAGCAAGCAAAUGUUACACAUGCCAACCACAUUUGUAAUGGUUCCCCAGGCACCUGGCACCGAUGGAAAAGGGAGAGCAGGUUAGAUGGAUGCCUCGUGCAUCUCUACAACACAGCCCUUAUCUUUCGAGAGGCUUUCUUACUGUAUGCUUAAAUGGUAAAUUAAAAGCCUGAUCCAGAGUGA
Long non-coding RNA from Taeniopygia guttata (zebra finch), 7145 nucleotides. NCBI's taxonomy places the organism in Eukaryota, Metazoa, Chordata, Aves, Passeriformes, Estrildidae. The record is from Ensembl.